Molecule: ribosomal RNA, 315 nt
Filed under: Triticum aestivum (bread wheat)
Lineage: Eukaryota; Viridiplantae; Streptophyta; Magnoliopsida; Poales; Poaceae
Description: partial small subunit ribosomal RNA
Source: RNAcentral
AUGGGACCUUUUCCUUCCUCUAAUGGGUAUACACAUAUUUUGGUUGCUUUUGAUUAUGUUACUAAGUGGGUAGAAGCUAUUACAACCAGAAGUGCUGAUCACAACAACUCUAUUAAAAUGCUUAAGGAAGUUAUUUUCCCAAGGUUUGGAGUCCCUAGAUAUUUAAUGAAUGAUGGUGGUUCACACUUUAUUCAUGGUGCUUUCCACAAAAUUCUUGCCAAGUAUGAUGUUAACCAUAGAAGUGCAUCACCUUAUCAUCCUCAGUAUAGUGGUCAAGUUGAACUUAGCAAUACAGAUAUAAAAUUAAUUUUGUAA